RNAcentral lists this ribosomal RNA (1299 nucleotides) under metagenome. RNAcentral describes it as "bacterial LSU rRNA". It matches the Rfam family "Bacterial large subunit ribosomal RNA", at positions 1635 to 2925 of the family's 2925-position model. The record is from RNAcentral.
UACACGACCGUACCGCAAACCGACACUGGUGCGCGAGAUGAGUAUUCUAAGGCGCCUGAGAGAACUCAGGAGAAGGAACUCGGCAAAUUGACACCGUAACUUCGGAAGAAGGUGUGCCUUUAGUAGGUGAACCUGUACAAGGGGAGCCCAAUGAGGUUGCAAAAAAUCGGUGGCUGCGACUGUUUAAUAAAAACACAGCACUCUGCAAACACGAAAGUGGACGUAUAGGGUGUGACGCCUGCCCGGUGCUGGAAGAUUAAAUGAUGGGGUGCAAGCUCUUGAUUGAAGUCCCAGUAAACGGCGGCCGUAACGAUAACGGUCCUAAGGUAGCGAAAUUCCUUGUCGGGUAAGUUCCGACCUGCACGAAUGGCGUAACGAUGGCCACACUGUCUCCUCCUGAGACUCAGCGAAGUUGAAAUGUUUGUGAUGAUGCAAUCUCCCCGCGGAAAGACGGAAAGACCCCAUGAACCUUUACUGUAGCUUUGUAUUGGACUUUGAACAGAUCUGUGUAGGAUAGGUGGGAGGCUUUGAAGUGUGGUCGCUAGAUCGCAUGGAGCCAACGUUGAAAUACCACCCUGGUGUGUUUGAGGUUCUAACCUAGGCCCGUAAUCCGGGUCGGGGACAGUGCAUGGUAGGCAGUUUGACUGGGGCGGUCUCCUCCCAAAGCGUAACGGAGGAGUUCGAAGGUACGCUAGGUACGGUCGGACAUCGUGCUAAUAGUGCAAUGGCAUAAGCGUGCUUAACUGCGAGACUGACAAGUCGAGCAGAUGCGAAAGCAGGACAUAGUGAUCCGGUGGUUCUGUAUGGAAGGGCCAUCGCUCAACGGAUAAAAGGUACUCUGGGGAUAACAGGCUGAUACCGCCCAAGAGUUCAUAUCGACGGCGGUGUUUGGCACCUCGAUGUCGGCUCAUCUCAUCCUGGGGCUGUAGCCGGUCCCAAGGGUAUGGCUGUUCGCCAUUUAAAGAGGUACGUGAGCUGGGUUUAAAACGUCGUGAGACAGUUUGGUCCCUAUCUUCCGUGGGCGCUGCAGAUUUGAGGAAGCCUGCUCCUAGUACGAGAGGACCGGAGUGGACACACCUCUGGUGUAUCGGUUGUCACGCCAGUGGCAUUGCCGAGUAGCUAUGUGUGGAAGAGAUAACCGCUGAAAGCAUCUAAGCGGGAAACUCGUUUCAAGAUGAGAUCUGCCGGGGCCUUGAGCCCCCUAAAGAGUCGUUCAAGACCAGGACGUUGAUAGGUCGGGUGUGGAAGCGCAGUAAUGCGUUAAGCUAACCGAUACUAAUUGCUCGUGCGGCUUGACCU